Molecule: ribosomal RNA, 542 nt
Filed under: Symbiodinium sp. Mp
Lineage: Eukaryota; Dinophyceae; Suessiales; Symbiodiniaceae
Description: partial Eukaryotic small subunit ribosomal RNA
Rfam family: Eukaryotic small subunit ribosomal RNA
Source: RNAcentral
UGGUGCCAGCAGCCGCGGUAAUUCCAGCUCCAAUAGCGUAUAUUUAAGUUGUUGCAGUUAAAAAGCUCGUAGUUGAAUUUCUGGCAUGGGCGACCGGUGCUUUCCCUGAAUGGGGAUUGAUUGUCUGUGUUGCCUUGGCCAUCUUUUUCUUUUCUUUAUUGAUGAGAAAUCUUUCACUGUAAUCAAAGCAGAGUGUUCCAAGCAGGUCGUAUGACCGGUAUGUUUAUUAUGGGAUGAUAAGAUAGGACUUGGGUGCUAUUUUGUUGGUUUGCACGCCUGAGUAAUGGUUAAUAGGAACAGUUGGGGGUAUUCGUAUUUAGGAGCUAGAGGUGAAAUUCUUGGAUUUCCGAAAGACGAACUAGAGCGAAGGCAUUUACCAAGCAUGUUUUCAUUAAUCAAGAACGAAAGUCUGGGGAUCGAAGAUGAUUAGAUACCAUCGUAGUCUUAACCAUAAACUAUGCCGACUAGGGAUUGGCGGACGUUGUCUAUAUGACUUCGCCAGCACCUCAUGAGAAAUCAAAGUCUUUGGGUUCCGGGGGGAG